This is a long non-coding RNA of Leptopilina boulardi, 2116 nucleotides long. RefSeq lists it as uncharacterized. The transcript is spliced from 3 exons. Lineage: Eukaryota; Metazoa; Arthropoda; Insecta; Hymenoptera; Figitidae. The record is from RefSeq and is a predicted model, not a curated record.
AAGGUUGGACAAUUAAAUCCACUAGUUGGACAAUGCAAUCUACUAGUUGGACAAUUAAAAUUAUGUCCUAAAUCAUCAAUUCAUUCAUUCCUUUAGACUGCAGAUAUAAAUAAAACUUAAAUUUGAUGGUAUUUUACUUCUAACACGUUUCCUUAAAAUUCAAAGGUUGGACAAUUAAAUCCACCAGUUGGACAAUUAAAAUCACUAGUUGGACAAUUAAAAUUAUGCACUAAAUCAUCAAUUCAUUCAUUCCUUUAGACUGCAGAGAUGAAGAAAAAUUAAAUUUGAUAGUAUUUCACUUAUAAAGCGUAUCCUCAAAAUUCAAAGGUUGGACAAUUAAUUCCACUAGUUGGACAAUGCAAUCUACUAGUUGGACAAUUAAAAUUAUGCACUAAAUCAUCUAUUCAUUCAUUCCUUUAGACUGCAGAUAUAAAUAAAACUUAAAUUUGAUGGUAUUUUACUUCUAACACGUUUCCUUAAAAUUCAAAGGUUGGACAAUUAAAUCCACCAGUUGGACAAUUAAAUUCACUAGUUGGACAAUUAAAUUCACUAGUUGGACAAUUAAAUCUACUAAUUGGACAAUUAAAUCUACUAAUUGGACAAUUAAAAAUAUGCACUAAAUCAUUAAUUUAAUUAUUCCUUUGCAUUGCAGAGAUAAAGAAAAAUUAAAUUUGAUAGUAUUUCACUUAUAAAGCGUAUCCUCAAAAUUCAAAGGCUGGACAUUUAAUUCCACUAGUUGGACAAUGCAAUCUACUAGUUGGACAAUUAAAAUUAUGCACUAAAUCAUCUAUUCAUUCAUUCCUUUAGACUGCAGAGAUGAAUAAAAUUUAAAUUUGAUAGUAUUUCACUUAUAAAGCGUUUCCUAAAAAUUCAAAGGUUGGACAAUUAAUUCCACUAGUUGGACAAUUAAAUUCACUAGUUGGACAAUUAAAAUUAUGUCCUAAAUCAUCAAUUCAUUCAUUCCUUUAGACUGCAGAGAUGAAUAAAAUUUAAAUUUGAUAGUAUUUUACUUGUAACAAGUUUCCUAAAAAAUCAAAGGUUGGACAAUUAAAUCCACUAGUUGGACAAUUAAAUCCACUAGUUGGACAAUUAAAAUUAUGUCCUAAAUCAUCAAUUCAUUCAUUCCUUUAGACUGCAGAGAUGAAUAAAAUUUAAAUUUGAUAGUAUUUUACUUGUAACAAGUUUCCUAAAAAAUCAAAGGUUGGACAAUGAAAUCCACUAGUUGGACAAUUAAAUUCACUAGUUGGACAAUUAAAAUUAUGUCCUCAUUUUAGAACAAUAAGAUUAUCGGGAUACAAGUGAAAAACUAUCAAUUUUUAAUUUUUCUUCUUCUAUUCAGUCUAAAAAAUGGAUUCAUUCAUAAAUUAAUUAUCAAAUUUGAUUGUCCAACUCGUCCACUGAAUUGUCCAAUUAGUAGAUUCAAUUGUCGAACAAGUAUUUUGAAUUGUCCAACCCUAGAAUUUAAAGAAAUCGCGUUUCAAGUGGAAAACUAUCAAUUUUAACUUUUCUUCUUCUGUACGGUCAAAAAAUAUGGAUUCAUUAAUGAAUUUGGUAUCAUUUCAAUUGUCCAACUAGUACUAAGAAUUGUCCAACUAGUAUAUUUAAUUGUCCAAUUCUAGAAUUUAAAGAAAUCGCGUUUCCACUGGAAAACUAUCAAUUUUAACUUUUCUUCUUCUGUACGGUCAAAAAAUAUGGAUUCAUUAAUGAAUUUGGUAUCAAUAUCAAUUGUCCAACUAGUACUAAGAAUUGUCCAACUAGUAUAUUUAAUUGUCCAAUUCUAGAAUUUAAAGAAAUCGCGUUUCCACUGGAAAACUAUCAAUUUUAACUUUUCUUCUUCUGUACGGUCAAAAAAUAUGGAUUCAUUAAUGAAUUUGGUAUCAAUAUCAAUUGUCCAACUAGUACAAAGAAUUGUCCAACUAGUAUAUUUAAUUGUCCAACCGUAGAAUUUAAAGAAAUCGCGUUUCCAGUGGAAAACUAUCAAUUUUAACUUUUCUUCUUCUGUACGGUCAAAAAAUAUGGAUUCAUUAAUGAAUUUGGCAUCAAUUUCAAUUGUCCAACUAGUACUAAGAAUUGUCCAACUAGUAUAUUUAAUUGUCCAAUUCUAGAAUUUAAAGAA